UGGGGAAUUUUGGACAAUGGGGGAAACCCUGAUCCAGCCAUCCCGCGUGUGCGAUGAAGGCCUUCGGGUUGUAAAGCACUUUUGGCAGGAAAGAAACGUCAUGGGUUAAUACCCCGUGAAACUGACGGUACCUGCAGAAUAAGCACCGGCUAACUACGUGCCAGCAGCCGCGGUAAUACGUAGGGUGCAAGCGUUAAUCGGAAUUACUGGGCGUAAAGCGUGCGCAGGCGGUUCGGAAAGAAAGAUGUGAAAUCCCAGAGCUCAACUUUGGAACUGCAUUAUUAACUACCGGGCUAGAGUGUGUCAGAGGGAGGUGGAAUUCCGCGUGUAGCAGUGAAAUGCGUAGAUAUGCGGAGGAACACCGAUGGCGAGGGCAGCCUCCUGGGAUAACACUGACGCUCAUGCACGAAAGCGUGGGGAGCAAACAGG
This 429-nucleotide ribosomal RNA is filed under the name Acidobacteriota bacterium. Its description in RNAcentral is "Acidobacteria bacterium partial 16S ribosomal RNA". It matches the Rfam family "Bacterial small subunit ribosomal RNA", at positions 355 to 776 of the family's 1533-position model. The record is from RNAcentral. Lineage: Bacteria; Pseudomonadati; Acidobacteriota.